RNAcentral lists this transfer RNA (85 nucleotides) under Marimonas arenosa. Its description in RNAcentral is "tRNA-Leu". It matches the Rfam family "tRNA". Rfam says of the family: Transfer RNA (tRNA) molecules are approximately 80 nucleotides in length. Their secondary structure includes four short double-helical elements and three loops (D, anti-codon, and T loops). The record is from RNAcentral. Lineage: Bacteria; Pseudomonadati; Pseudomonadota; Alphaproteobacteria; Rhodobacterales; Paracoccaceae.
CUGAAUGUGGCGAAAUGGUUGACGCGCAUCGUUUAGGACGAUGUGUCCUGAAGAGGACGUGCGGGUUCGAGUCCCGUCAUUCAAU